UACGGAGGAUCCAAGCGUUAUCCGGAUUUAUUGGGUUUAAAGGGUGCGUAGGCGGAUUAGUAAGUUAGAGGUGAAAGCUCGGGGCUCAACUCCGGAACUGCCUCUGAUACUGCUGAUCUAGAGAGUAGAUGCGGUAGGCGGAAUGUAUGGUGUAGCGGUGAAAUGCUUAGAGAUCAUACAGAACACCGAUUGCGAAGGCAGCUUACCAAACUAUAUCUGACGUUGAGGCACGAAAGCGUGGGGAGCAAACAGG
This 253-nucleotide ribosomal RNA is filed under the name uncultured Bacteroidales bacterium. RNAcentral describes it as "partial 16S ribosomal RNA". It matches the Rfam family "Bacterial small subunit ribosomal RNA", at positions 524 to 776 of the family's 1533-position model. The record is from RNAcentral. Lineage: Bacteria; Pseudomonadati; Bacteroidota; Bacteroidia; Bacteroidales.